Non-coding RNA from Salmo salar (Atlantic salmon), 432 nucleotides. NCBI's taxonomy places the organism in Eukaryota, Metazoa, Chordata, Actinopteri, Salmoniformes, Salmonidae. The record is from RefSeq and is a predicted model, not a curated record.
AUCUAAAGAUCAACUGUACCUAGAACAUAGAUACAGAGCCACUUGUUAUCAGGAAGCUGCUCUCUCAGCACAACGGAAAAUAUCUCAAUGACUUGACAUGUUCUGGUUGUGAAUUCAGGCUACAAGGGGUCAGUGCUCUAAAAUGAGUCUCUCUGGGGAGAGAGAGGAGGGGGGCCCUGCCUCUAAAAUGAGUCUCUCUGGGGAGAGAGAGGAGGGGGGUCCUGCCUCUAAAAUGAGUCUCUCUGGGGAGAGAGAGGAGGGGGGCCCUGCCUCUAAAAUGCAUCUAUCUGAGGGACAUGACAACAAAGCUAAGAGUCCAAUCAAGCAGGAGAGACCAGCCUCCCCUGUACCCAGCUGUGUGUCCAUGAAGAGUGACCAGUCUAUGGGUCAUCCUAUAGAGUUUAGAGAGGGAGACUUUUCUACUGAACAAAG